Molecule: long non-coding RNA, 731 nt
Organism: Mustela erminea (ermine)
Lineage: Eukaryota; Metazoa; Chordata; Mammalia; Carnivora; Mustelidae
Exons: 3
Source: RefSeq, a predicted model, not a curated record
GCUUCCUCGAUGCCCACCCAGUGGCUUCCAGCAGCUUCCCCAACUAGGAGUCUCUUUUGCUUCCAGGCCUUCCCGGGAGAGACCUCCUGAUUGGCUGAGCUUCAUCUACCUGCGGCGGUAGGAGGGCGGGGAGCGGCUCUAUGGAGAUAAGCGCAAAGACCUCUGGCUUGGGCUCGAGGCCCGCCGUUCUGCAAGGCUCGAUGUCCAACAUGGAACGUUUGCUCAGGAACCUGAGACCAAGGAUCAUACGCUCCACCGACUAAGCUACAAGAACAUGGUAGCAUGAUUUUUGUUUUUGUUUUCGGGGGUUUUUCUUUUUUUUUACUUUUUUUCCCGCCCUUUGAGUAAAUCUUUUGAGGGUACCUAGGUAACCAGCAGAAGAAGGGGUAUUAAUUGGGAGUUAUCGAUACCUGUCUCUUCUCUGACCAGGGCAAUGUGUUGACAGGGUUUCCAUAAGGGUAACUCAGUGCACUUCACCCCUUUUCGCCCCUUCACCCACCACACUAAGUAUUUUCACAUUGUUCUGCAGCCAAGCCCUCCAAUGAGACCUAACCAGAAAUUAAGGACAUUAAUCAACCUUUCAUCCUUGUACUUGAGCCCUGUGGGCCAUAUUGACCUUGGCUUGAGAUCCCAUCUUUUCAAGAUACCCUCCAAGCCACACUAUAUUGCACAGAAAUUAAAAAAUUAAUGUAAGCAACAUAUCAUUUUUGGGGGCGCCUGGGUGGCUCAGU